GCGGGUGUAGCUCAGUGGCUAGAGCGUCUGGUUGCCAUCCAGAAGGCCGGGGGUUCGACUCCCCUCACCCGCU
Molecule: transfer RNA, 73 nt
Filed under: Planctomycetaceae bacterium
Lineage: Bacteria; Pseudomonadati; Planctomycetota; Planctomycetia; Planctomycetales; Planctomycetaceae
Also listed under: 1 other name
Description: tRNA-Gly
Rfam family: tRNA
About the family: Transfer RNA (tRNA) molecules are approximately 80 nucleotides in length. Their secondary structure includes four short double-helical elements and three loops (D, anti-codon, and T loops).
Source: RNAcentral